Molecule: long non-coding RNA, 247 nt
Filed under: Elaeis guineensis (African oil palm)
Lineage: Eukaryota; Viridiplantae; Streptophyta; Magnoliopsida; Arecales; Arecaceae
Description: long non-coding RNA (EGUI_LNC061687)
Source: RNAcentral
CACUCAAAUGAGAUUUUAACAGAGUUUCGAGAUAGAGUUUAGAGCUUAGAGAUGAACGUAUCUGGAGGUCCCUUUUUAUAGACGAAGAGCAUAACAGAUUGACAGCGAGAUCUGUAACUGCCUGGUAGUUGACAGUUCGGGGCCACAUGGAGUUUGUUACGGAGAGUAGUGGCAUCAGGAGGCCGUUCAGGGCCACGUGGAGUUUGUUAUGGAGAGUGGAGUGGUGUCUGUUGUCACGACUUGCCAG